RNAcentral lists this ribosomal RNA (490 nucleotides) under uncultured bacterium. RNAcentral's name for it is "partial 16S ribosomal RNA". It matches the Rfam family "Bacterial small subunit ribosomal RNA", at positions 29 to 507 of the family's 1533-position model. The record is from RNAcentral.
AUUGAACGCUGGCGGCAGGCCUAACACAUGCAAGUCGAACGGUAACAGCAAGACUCUUGCUUCUUUGCUGACGAGUGGCGGACGAGUGAGUAAUGUCUGGGAAACUGCCUGAUGGAGGGGGAUAACUACUGGAAACGGUAGCUAAUACCGCAUAACUCCGCAAGACCAAAGAGGGUGACCUUCUGGCCUCUGGCCAUCGGGUAUGCCCAGAUGGGCUUAGCGAGUAGGGGGGGUAACGGCUCACCUAGGCGCAGAUCCCUACCUGGUAUGAGAGGGUGGCCAGCCAGCCUGGAAGUGAGACAGGGUCCAGACUCCUGCGGGAGGCAGCAGUGGGGAAUAUUACGCAAUGGGGGGGAGCAUGAUGCAGCCCUGCGGAGUGUAUGCAGAAGGCGCUCGGGUUGGAAAGUAGUGUCAGCGGUGAGGAAGGGAGUAACGUUAAGACCUUUGGUCAUUGACGGUACCGGGAGAAGAAGCACCGGCUAACUCCGUG